AUAUAGAGUACUGUACACACUACAAUUACUGAGGUUUAAAUAUAUAGAGUACUGUACACACUACAAUUACUGAGGUUUAAAUAUAUAGAGUACUGUACACACUACAAUUACUGAGGUUUAAAUAUAUAGAGUACUGUACACACUACAAUUACUGAGGUUUAAAUAUAUAGAGUACUGUACACACUACAAUUACUGAGGUUUAAAUAUAUAGAGUACUGUACACACUACAAUUACUGAGGUUUACAAAUAAGCUCAACUGGACACCUUAAUGACACCUAACCUGUUCUACUAACACACUGAAGCCUCAGUCCCC
Oncorhynchus keta (chum salmon) is the source of this 313-nucleotide long non-coding RNA. RefSeq lists it as uncharacterized. Lineage: Eukaryota; Metazoa; Chordata; Actinopteri; Salmoniformes; Salmonidae. The record is from RefSeq and is a predicted model, not a curated record. The transcript has 3 exons.